Molecule: ribosomal RNA, 330 nt
Filed under: uncultured bacterium
Lineage: Bacteria
Description: bacterial SSU rRNA
Rfam family: Bacterial small subunit ribosomal RNA
Source: RNAcentral
UCCGUAGGCGGUGCGGCAAGUCGGUAGUGAAAUCUCAGGGCUUAACCCUGAGGCUGCUUCCGAAACUGCCGUGCUCGAGUGCGAGAGAGGCGAGUGGAAUUGCAGGUGUAGCGGUGAAAUGCGUAGAUAUCUGCAGGAACAUCCGAGGCGAAAGCGGCUCGCUGGAUCGCAACUGACGCUGAGGGACGAAAGCUAGGGGAGCAAACAGGAUUAGAUACCCUGGUAGUCCUAGCCCUAAACGAUCAGGACUGGGCGUGGGCCUCGUACGGGGCUCGUGCCGCAGCUAACGCGUUAAGUCCUGCGCCUGGGGAGUACGGUCGCAAGGCUGAA